This 347-nucleotide unclassified non-coding RNA is filed under the name soil metagenome. Its description in RNAcentral is "partial contains 5.8S ribosomal RNA, internal transcribed spacer 2, and large subunit ribosomal RNA". The stretch from base 1 to 120 matches the Rfam family "5.8S ribosomal RNA", at positions 35 to 154 of the family's 154-position model. The record is from RNAcentral.
GAUGAAGAACGCAGUGAAAUGCGAUAAUUAAUGUGAAUUGCAGAAUUCAGUGAAUCAUCGAGUCUUUGAACGCACAUUGCGCCCCCUGGUAUUCCGGGGGGCAUGCCUGUCCGAGCGUCAUUGCUGCCCUCAAGCACGGCUUGUGUGUUGGGCUUCCGUCCCUGGCAACGGGGACGGGCCCAAAAGGCAGUGGCGGCACCAUGUCUGGUCCUCGAGCGUAUGGGGCUUUGUCACCCGCUCCCGUAGGUCCAGCUGGCAGCUAGCCUCGCAACCAAUCUUUUUAACCAGGUUGACCUCGGAUCAGGUAGGGAUACCCGCUGAACUUAAGCAUAUCAAUAAGCGGAGGA